This 71-nucleotide transfer RNA is filed under the name Loxodonta africana (African savanna elephant). It matches the Rfam family "tRNA". From Rfam's summary of the family: Transfer RNA (tRNA) molecules are approximately 80 nucleotides in length. Their secondary structure includes four short double-helical elements and three loops (D, anti-codon, and T loops). Lineage: Eukaryota; Metazoa; Chordata; Mammalia; Proboscidea; Elephantidae. The record is from Rfam by way of RNAcentral.
UCAAUGGUGGUUCAGUGGUAGAAUUCUCACCUUCCGUGCAGAAGACCUGGGUUUGAUUCCCAGCCAUGCAU